AUGGCGACCGCCAUGCGGAGCGCCCGCCUCCUACGGCUCGGCUUCUGUCACGUCCCUUCUCUUCUCUUCCGAGGGCCCCUGUUCCCCUCCCCGAGCCCGGGCCUGGGCCUGGGCCUGAGCGUUGCCAGGGUCGGGUUGGUCCAUCUCCGAUGCUCGGCGGCCGAGGCCGGCGACGGCAGGGGUAAGAAGGUGUCAGCGCGACUAGCACUGGCACAGCAGGUGAUGCGCGACGCCGAGGAGCGCGCGGCCUCAGCCGGCUCUGAUCCCGCCCCCAAGAUCACCAUGGAUCAUGUUACUGUUAGCUUUGCAAGAAGUGGGGGCGCGGGUGGUCAGAAUGUUAACAAAGUUAAUACAAAGGUUGACAUGCGGUUCAAUGUUGAGAAAGCUCAUUGGCUCGGAGAGAGGAUUAAGGAACGGAUAUUGCAAACGGAAAAGAACAGGAUAAAUAAGGAUGGUGAACUUGUGAUGUCUUCUACGAAAACUAGGACACAGAAGGGCAAUAUUGAAGAUGCUUUGCAGAAAAUACAGGCGAUCAUUGAUGCUGCAUCAUAUGUUCCCCCACCGCCUUCAGAAGAGCAAAAGAAGAAAAUUGAAAAAAUUGCUGCAGCCGCUGAGAGGAACAGAAUGCAAAACAAGAAGGUACUCUCACAGAAGAAAGAAUCGAGGAGGAGCAAACCCAGCUGGGACUGA
This 690-nucleotide ribosomal RNA is filed under the name Triticum aestivum (bread wheat). RNAcentral describes it as "partial small subunit ribosomal RNA". Lineage: Eukaryota; Viridiplantae; Streptophyta; Magnoliopsida; Poales; Poaceae. The record is from RNAcentral.